ACGUAACGCGUGGCGGCGUGCCUAAUACAUGCAACGUCGAACGGUCCUUCUAUGGAAGCUUGCUUCCACGUGAGAAGAUAGUGGGCGAACGGGUGAGUAACGACGUGGGUAACCUGCCCAUAAGAGGGGGAUAACAUCCGGAAACGGGUGCUAAUACCGCAUAGUUUUCUUGAUCGCAUGAUUGAGAAAGGAAAGAUGGCCUUUGUGCUGUCGCUUAUGGAUGGACCCGCGGCGUAUUAGUUAGUUGGUGAGGUAACGGCUCACCAAGACGAUGAUACGUAGCCGACCUGAGAGGGUGAUCGGCCACAUUGGGACUGAGACACGGCCCAAACUCCUACGGGAGGCAGCAGUAGGGAAUCUUCCGCAAUGGACGAAAGUCUGACGGAGCAACGCCGCGUGAGUGAAGAAAAGGUUUUCGGAUCGUAAAACUCUGUUGUCAGAGAAGAACAAGUUGGAGAGUAACUGCUCCAGCCUUGACGGUAUCUGACCAGAAAGCCACGGCUAACUACGUGCCAGCCGCCGC
This 523-nucleotide ribosomal RNA is filed under the name uncultured bacterium. Its description in RNAcentral is "bacterial SSU rRNA". It matches the Rfam family "Bacterial small subunit ribosomal RNA", at positions 37 to 518 of the family's 1533-position model. The record is from RNAcentral.